This is a long non-coding RNA of Oncorhynchus tshawytscha (Chinook salmon), 2509 nucleotides long. The record is from Ensembl. Lineage: Eukaryota; Metazoa; Chordata; Actinopteri; Salmoniformes; Salmonidae.
AUUCUGAUCCGAGGAUCAGCUGGAGGAAGCAAUAACAGAGGGAAAAUCUGCAGGGGAAAAAAUCGAGCAAGAGGGAAAAAACUGCAGAUGUUAUACUCUGAACAUCAGGUGUAAAUUCAAGUUUUACACGAAGCCCCUUCUUCUACGAAGAAAGCCUUUUUUUUAUUUUGUAUUAUGGUGUUUUAACUACCUCACUUAAAAGGCAACCUAAAGCUAUGCUUUAAGAAUUAUUGUCGUUUCUACUUUGUGUGAGAUCAUCACGUUUACAAUUUGAAAUAUAUUGCUAAUACAGCGUGAGACUCCUGUGUCCUCCUGUCGGCUCCUGGUGUCAGUGUCACCAUGGCAACCGUCCAAAUAAGCAGGAAGUGUCGCUUUCCACCCAUGCGUAACAUAUGUCCCUAUCCUUCUUCAUCACGCUUCUUUCCUUUCAUUUAUCUUCCUCACCUCAUUGUACACCUUUCUCCCUCUCUCGACCUCCUCUGUUUUUAUCCAUACCUGUAGCCUAAUUGCUAUCUCUCUCCUUUCCUCUUCUCCCCUUACAUUAAUCUCUCACACUUUUCAUUUGUCUCUCUUCCUCCUUCCUCUUUAUAACCCCCCCCCCUCUCCCCCAUAUUAUCUAAUUUUAGAAAGUACACCCUGUCAGAUCAGAGAGAUCAGUGUUCCGUCAUACCGUCCAGUAGCCUCUGCAGGAAUGAUAUGUCUCUCUGAUAUCCAAUAUCUCCCUCCAUGGUUAAAUACAGGGACAGAAAAGUGCAGGCUCCAGUGGCUCAGUUGGUUAGAGUAUGAGGCUUGCAAUAUCAGGGAUGUAGGUUCGAUCCCCAGAUGACCUAUGAAGUGUCUAAACUUUUUGUAUAUUAUAUUAUACUGUAUUUGUUAUUUUUUUACUGUCUUUGUGUUACUCCUUCCCCCUAGACUCCAGGCCCUGAUUACGACCCGAGUUAAGCGUGCGUAAAUUGAACUUUACUCUCUAUGCAUAUUCUGACCUUGAACUUAAGCAUGGGUCUAGCGAACCUGCCAGUUCCAGGUGGAAAAAACGUGUACUUUAUUUUUUUCAUAUAGAAAUAACAGCAUUCUCCAUGCACUGUAAUUUCUGAAUGGAUAAGAGCUAUGUAAAUGCAUAAUCCGUUUGGAGAAGGGGAUUGUAAAUACACACAUCAAUUGUUUUAAGUGAUUUUUACUUAUGAUCCCUGGAGACGAAUGUGAAACCAGUGAUAUGGAAGCUAACUGAAAAGCAUGACAACAUGACAUGUCUUGCUGCCUCUUUCCCACAGUGAAAUAGGUUACAAACACACCAAGACAGCCUUGAAGAGGGCACGAAAAUGCCUUUCCCCCUCAGGAGAUUGAAAAGAAUAGGCAUGGGUCCCCAGAUCCUCAAAAAGUUUUACAGCUGAUCCAUUGAGAGCAUCCUGACUGGUUGCAUCAUUGCCUGGUAUGACAACUGCUCGGCAUCCGACCGUAAGGCGCAACAGAGGGUAGUGCGUACGGCCCAGUACAUCACUGGGGCCAAGCUUCCUGCCAUCCAGGACCUUUAUACUAGGCGGUGUCAGAGGAAGGCCCAAAACAUUGUCAAAGACUCCAGUCACCCAACUCAUAGCCUGCUCUCUACGGCAAGCGUUACCGAAGCGCCAAGUCUAGGUCCAAAAGGCUCCUUAACUGCUUCUACCCCCAAGCCUUAAGACUGCUGAACAAUUAAUCAAAUGCCCCCUCCCCCCCUUUGUUUUGACACUGCUGCUACUCGUGGUUUAUUAUCUAUGCAUAGUCACAUUACCCCUACCUACAUGUACAAAUUACCUCGACUAACCUAUAUCCUCACACAUUGACUCGGUACCGGUAGGCCCCUGUAUGUAGCCUCGUUAUUGUUAUCUUACUGUGUAACUUUUACAUUUUUUACUAUAGUGUAUUUAGUAAAAAAUUUUUUUACUCUACAUUCUUAAAACGACAUUGUUGGUUAAGGGCUUGUAAGUAAGCUUUUUACGGUAAGGUCUACACCUGUUGUAUUCAGCAUUUUAUGGUAAGGUCUACACCUGUUGUAUUCGACACGUGACCUUUUUUGUGUGAUUUGAUAAAUAGCUGUGCCAUCGUUCUGAAUUUUAAUUGUGUGCCCUCAUAAUUUGCAUGGAUGAAAGUUGGACACCCAAGCUAUAGGCUUCUGUAGGGCUGAACCUAGGCUUCUUUAGGGCUGAACCUAGGCUUCUGUAGGGAUGAAUCUAGGCUUCUGUAGGGCUGAACCUAACGAAUUUACAGUUGAAGUUGGAGGUUUACAUACACUUAGGUUGGAGUCAUUAAAACUAAUUUUUCAACCACUCCACAAAUGUCUUGUUAACAAAUUAUAGUUUUGGCAAGUUGGUUAGGACAUCUACUUUGUGCAUGACACAAGUAAUUUUUCCAACAAUUGUUUAGAGACAGAUUAUUUCACUUAUAAUUCAUUGUAUCACAUUACCAGAGGCUCAGAAGUUUACAUACACAAAGCUGACUGUGCCUUUAAACAGCUUGGAAAAUUCCAGAAAAU